Molecule: long non-coding RNA, 658 nt
Filed under: Cricetulus griseus (Chinese hamster)
Lineage: Eukaryota; Metazoa; Chordata; Mammalia; Rodentia; Cricetidae
Description: lncRNA (ENSCGRG00000025404.1)
Source: RNAcentral
AUAGUCUUGCGGUUCCCCCAGCUAGGAAUGAAAGCAUCCCCGACGAAACCAAGGCCUUCUGGAAGAUCCAGAUCCCCUGGCUGAGAGUUGAAGUGGUUUCUUGUUGUGACAAGAGGAAUAACAGACUGGGGUCAGGGGACCAACAUGGAUGUGAGUAUUGGUGAGUCCUUCUGGUGAUGGGGUCAUGGUGGAAAGGAUGUGCUCUUCAGGAUCAGACAAGUUCAUGGGACUUUGGACUGUGAAGCCCACAUACAGGCAGCUUCUUCGUCCUGGCUCAGAGAUGCCUAAGACCUUCUGCUCCAUGCAUGGUGUGGCAAAACACAAGCUUUGGAAGAGGCCAAACAGGUUGCCUAAUUUGGUCUUCUCUCCUUGUGCAACAUUCCCAUUUUGUUUACUGACGAGGACGGUCCCCACUUCGGAAGGAGAAUGUCUGGGGGCAUCCGAGAAAGCAGAAACUGAAGAAAGGGGUUCCUCCAUGAUGACAGAGGUACCACGUCCUGUCUGUACUGCAGCUUACAAGCAGGCUUCCUUCCAGAUGGUGUAUGUUUGCAGUACUUGGGCUACGAAAGAAAGUGAGGGAGAAUCUCUUUCUUCCUCAAACAAACCUAUUUUUCAGAUGGGCUGCUGGGAUCCCGUGAUGACUAUUCUUGGUUGUUAA